GGUCCGAUGGUGUAGUUGGUUAUCACUUCUGUCUAACAAUGCGCUGGUUUCUCGAAAGAGCUUUCCAAAGAUUUGCUUGUUCACAGGCGGUCCUCAGUUCGAACCUGGGUCGGAUCA
This is a non-coding RNA of Favolaschia claudopus, 117 nucleotides long. NCBI's taxonomy places the organism in Eukaryota, Fungi, Basidiomycota, Agaricomycetes, Agaricales, Mycenaceae. The record is from the annotation of a GenBank genome assembly.